CGGUUGAUCCUGCCGGACCUGACUGCUAUUGGAGUAGGACUAAGUCACGCUAGUCAAAGGUGCGGAAUGGAGCACCUGGCGUACGGCUCAGUAACACGUAGUCAACCUACCCUAAGGACGAGGACAACCACGGGAAACUGUGGAUAAUCUUCGAUAGGAAAUUUGGCCUGGAACGGUAUCUUUCCUAAAUCCGCUUCGCCGUGAAGUACGGGCCUUAGGAUGGGGCUGCGGCCGAUUAUGCUAGAUGGCGGUGUAAAGGACCACCAUGGCGACGAUCGGUAUGGGCAAUGGAAGUUGGAGCCCAGAGUCGCUCACUGAGACAAGGGAGCGAGCCUUACGAGGCUUAGCGGUCGCGAAAACUCGCCAAUGCACGAAAGUGUGAGUGGGCUACUCCAAGUGUCUUUCUUACGGAAGACUGUCGCCCAGUAUUACAAGCUGGGAAAGGAAGGAGAGGGCAAGGCUGGUGCCAGCCGCCGCGGUAAAACCAGCUCUUCGAGUGGUCAGGACGAAUAUUGGGUCUAAAGCGCUCGUAGCCGGACAUGUGGGUUCUUGGUUAAAUCCGACAGCAUAACUGUCGAUCUGCUGGGAAUACCGCAAGUCUUGGGAGCGGGAGAGGAUAGAGGUAGUCGUAGGGCAGGGGUGAAAUCCAGUGAUCCUACGGCGACCACCGAUGGCGAAGGCAUCUAUCUGGAACGUCUCCGACGGUGUGGGGCGAAAGCUAGGGGAGCGACCCGGAUUAGAUACCCGGUUAGUCCUAGCCGUAAACGAUGCCGACUAGGUGUUACUGCGGCCAAGAGCCGCUGUAGUGCCACAGCGAAGGCGUUAAGUCGGCCACCUGGGGAGUACGGUCGCAAGACUGAAACUUAAAGGAAUUGACGGGGGCGCACCACCAGGAGUGAAGCCUGCGGUUUAAU
Molecule: ribosomal RNA, 914 nt
Filed under: uncultured archaeon
Lineage: Archaea
Description: bacterial SSU rRNA
Rfam family: Archaeal small subunit ribosomal RNA
Source: RNAcentral